This 440-nucleotide ribosomal RNA is filed under the name uncultured Kiloniellales bacterium. RNAcentral describes it as "bacterial SSU rRNA". It matches the Rfam family "Bacterial small subunit ribosomal RNA", at positions 338 to 795 of the family's 1533-position model. Lineage: Bacteria; Pseudomonadati; Pseudomonadota; Alphaproteobacteria; Rhodospirillales. The record is from RNAcentral.
CCUACGGGGGGCUGCAGUGGGGAAUAUUGGACAAUGGGGGCAACCCUGAUCCAGCCAUGCCGCGUGAGUGAAGAAGGCCUUAGGGUUGUAAAGCUCUUUCGACGGGGACGAUGAUGACGGUACCCGUAGAAGAAGCCCCGGCUAACUUCGUGCCAGCAGCCGCGGUAAUACGAAGGGGGCAAGCGUUGUUCGGAUUUACUGGGCGUAAAGGGCGCGUAGGCGGAUGCGUAAGUCAGAGGUGAAAGCCCUGGGCUCAACCCGGGAAUUGCCUUUGAGACUGCGUGUCUUGAGUAUGGGAGAGGGUGGCGGAAUACCCAGUGUAGAGGUGAAAUUCGUAGAUAUUGGGUAGAACACCAGUGGCGAAGGCGGCCACCUGGCCCAUAACUGACGCUGAGGCGCGAAAGCGUGGGGAGCAAACAGGAUUAGAUACCCGGGUAGUC